Molecule: ribosomal RNA, 375 nt
Filed under: gamma proteobacterium SCGC AAA031-J08
Lineage: Bacteria; Pseudomonadati; Pseudomonadota; Gammaproteobacteria
Description: bacterial SSU rRNA
Rfam family: Bacterial small subunit ribosomal RNA
Source: RNAcentral
UGGGGAAUAUUGGACAAUGGGCGCAAGCCUGAUCCAGCCAUGCCGCGUGUGUGAAGAAGGCCUUCGGGUUGUAAAGCACUUUNAGUGGGGAGGAAGGGCAGUNGGUUAAUACCNUGCUGGNUUGACGUUACCCACAGAAUAAGCACCGGCUAACUCCGUGCCAGCAGCCGCGGUAAUACGGAGGGUGCAAGCGUUAAUCGGAAUUACUGGGCGUAAAGCGCGCGUAGGUGGUUNGUUAAGUCGGAUGUGAAAUCCCCGGGCUCAACCUGGGAACUGCAUUCGAAACUGGCAAGCUAGAGUNUGGUAGAGGGGGGUGGAAUUCCCGGUGUAGCGGUGAAAUGCGUAGAGAUCAGGAGGAACACCNGUGGCGAAGGC